CCAUAGGACCGCUACUUUGAAGGAGAAACAAUACUUAAAUAGUGGCCAGAAAAUAAUGUGGGGAAUACAAAGUUCAAGUCGAAGAACUGAGCACUGAGAUUAGGGAGACCAGAAAACCUCUACCACUGCUAUUCCUCUAGAAUUUAUAGGCGCAGAGAAAUUAAGUUUCAGAUGUAGAGCAGUUAGGCCAUUACAUAUUCUGUUAGGUGGAAGUUAUUGUCUACUCCUUACAGUUAAUACUACAGUGCAGUUCAGUUACAUUUGGUGCCUUUUAAUUUUACGCCAUCCCUCAACGACUCUCCGUGUUGAAUUAUUACAUUUGGAUGAACGGAGAGGUCUGAAAUAUGAAGUAGGGCUGUUAGAACAGCCAGGUGUUGAGAAUUGCAAUAUUUGAGUAUAUUUAUACUGGAUAAUAAAAAUGGAAGGGGAAUCUGGUUCGUCUUCCCAGCAAGGGGCAACAAAUAUUCCUUCAACGGCUUCUUUGCCCUCGUCAACAAUCCCAACACCAACCCCGACCCAGACCCCAGCCACAGUUGGGGCGUCAUCGACAAUUGGAGCCCCAACACCCACUGUGGCUUCUACUCAUCAAAACCCACAGCAGAAUUCAGUGCAACUGGGAGCAACGGGGGUUGUUGGGGUUGGUGCUGGUGCGGGACAAAAUCAACAACAACAAUCAUCACCUACCGUAUCCUCAGGGCAGCAAACGCAUCAACAUUUUGUGUCCACAUCAUCCAGUUUCCAUCCAGGGCAGUCAAGGCCUGGAGCGGCUGUAAACAGAAGCAGGCAGCAUCCAACAACUUUCCCACACUUGUCACCUUCAACUGCAAUGCACCAGCAAAGAGGCGGUGUUCAAAUGCAAGUCAUGGGAAGUCCGCAAAGGCCUCAGACUCUGGGAUCAUCCUCAUAUGGUUACGGUAUGCCGAGGGGAACCAUGAUGGGACAAACACAAGCUACUUCUUCAAUGAUACCUGCUGGACAGACGGACCAAGCUUCCAAUAUGCAAUCACCGUAUGCAGGUCACCAGGCUAGACAGAAGCCAGGAUCUGUUCAGGUUCCUCCAUACCAGCAUCCAGCAUCUUCAGGUCAGACGCUGCCAGUACCAUCAAUGAGUACAGUGGGUUCUCAUCCUCACGGCUCUCAGAUGAGACCAAUUGGUUCUUUUAGUCAUGGUCAGCAAAGGCCUGUUCAAGGGCUGUCAAGAUCGCAGACUCCAUCUCAACUUCAACCACUCACUCAACAGAAAAUGCACUCACCAAGUUUUCAAAGAAACACAUCUGUGGGAUCUCUGGGUUCUAAAGCGCCUGGCAUAUCACAAGGUGGACAAGCGAGUGUGGGUUCAAGUGCACUUUCAAAUCAGCCACAGUGGAUGCCAUCUCAAGGAAAGCAAAUGCACCAAUCCAGCUUGCCUCCUUUAGCAUCUCCUUUUCAAUCGAACCUUAAGCAGCAAAAUAUACAGCAGAGGUCACAUGGUCAGAUACAGCAACAGACACUUCCUUUGACAGUGCAACAGCAACAGCCAUUGCAGGAACAACAAACUCAACAGUUUCAACAGCAACGGAUGUCACAGCCUUUGCAUGUUGCAUCACAGCAGCAUCAGAUGUCUCGAGCAGCAGGAACACCAACUCAAAACACUUCAAUAUCAGCAGGAACUCAAGUUGGUACAUCUGUACCAGGAAAUGCAGUGCCAUCUGUAAGUAAUGAUCGGGCAACUGAAACUACUAAUAAGAUACUUGAGAAGAGAAGCAUCCAAGAAUUAGUUGAUCAGAUUGACCCUCGUCAGAAGCUAGAUGGUGAAGUUGAAGACAUCCUUAUAGAGAUAGCAGAAGAUUUUCUUGAAAGAGUAGCAACUAGUGCUUGUACUAUGGCAAAACAUCGAAAGUCGGAAUACUUGGAACCCAAGGAUAUAUUGCUUCCUUUAGAAAGAUAUUGGCAUAUAACGCUUCCUGGCUUUAGUGGUGAUGAAUAUAGAACCUACAAGAGGACUCUUCUCGUUCUUUACCAGGGAAUAAAAAUAUUUCUCUCUGAUCACGUGCCUUUUAUUGAUUGGUUGGGGGUAUUGCGUGCAGUCUGUGAACGAGAAUCACAAGCAACGACUUGCUGUGAUUCGGAAGUCGGUUGCAACAUCACAGACGGGAAAUGAAACAGGAAAUGCCAAAGGCUCUUCGGGACAAGUUACUGGAAAUGCUAGUGCCAAAGGUACCGCAACAAAGGGAGCACAGGAACCACCAGCUACAGGAGACCAUACAUGAUUGGAGUUGACUUUUGUGCUAAGAGCAGGACUGUAUGGGGUUCGGCAAUCAAUUGUUGGUCAACUGUUAUUUUUGUUGUAUGGUGACCCAGGGUGAAAAUCUUAUGAAGACCAAAAAUUUUGCUUCAACAUUCAGAUUACGGGUACCAACAAUUGAUGUCUCUGACAUUCAAUGACAAAUAUUUCUUGAAUUUCUUUGGAGCACGAACCCAAACAGCAUCUUCUGGUAGAACUGGACCACUUAUUGUAAAAAGUCCACGACUUAUCUUCUUAAAAAAGAAGGAAUGUGGAUUUGCCUUGUAUUUUGAGCUGCAGUAUGAACACAUGUUCUACCAUUUUAUGUUAUAGCACUGUUAAGCAAUUUUCUCUGAACUAGGGGGCAAAAAUGUGCUACUUGCAAGGAACAAAUAUAAAGUUAUAAACACAAAUUUUCAAUUUCCACAACAUGGAAGGAAACAGUUGUAUAGAACAAUUUAUAUCUGUUUUUAUAAUUUGAAGCCAGACUGAUUUGUUUGAACA
RNA transcript from Cryptomeria japonica (Japanese cedar), 2767 nucleotides. It is a transcript of the gene named transcription initiation factor TFIID subunit 12, with no coding region annotated. The record is from RefSeq and is a predicted model, not a curated record. Lineage: Eukaryota; Viridiplantae; Streptophyta; Pinopsida; Cupressales; Cupressaceae. The transcript has 10 exons.